AGUGAACGCUGGCGGUAGGCCUAAUACAUGCAAGUCGAACGGCAGCACAGUAAGAGCUUGCUCUUACGGGUGGCGAGUGGCGGACGGGUGAGGAAUAUAUCGGAAUCUACUUUUUCGUGGGGGAUAACGUAGGGAAACUUACGCUAAUAUCGCAUACGACCUACGGGUGAAAGCAGGGGAUCUUUGGACCUUGCGCGAUUGAAUGAGCCGAUGUCGGAUUAGCUAGUUGGCGGGGUAAAGGCCCACCAAGGCGACGAUCCGUAGCUGGUCUGAGAGGAUGAUCAGCCACACUGGAACUGAGACACGGUCCAGACUCCUACGGGAGGCAGCAGUGGGGAAUAUUGGACAAUGGGCGCAAGCCUGAUCCAGCCAUACCGCGUGGGUGAAGAAGGCCUUCGGGUUGUAAAGCCCUUUUGUUGGGAAAGAAAAGCAGCAGGUUAAUACCCCGCUGUUCUGACGGUACCCAAAGAAUAAGCACCGGCUAACUUCGUG
This 492-nucleotide ribosomal RNA is filed under the name uncultured bacterium. RNAcentral describes it as "partial 16S ribosomal RNA". It matches the Rfam family "Bacterial small subunit ribosomal RNA", at positions 29 to 507 of the family's 1533-position model. The record is from RNAcentral.